RNAcentral lists this small nuclear RNA (21 nucleotides) under Arabidopsis thaliana (thale cress). Its description in RNAcentral is "snRNA_07301". Lineage: Eukaryota; Viridiplantae; Streptophyta; Magnoliopsida; Brassicales; Brassicaceae. The record is from RNAcentral.
AUGGGUUAGUCGAUCCUAAGA